CCUCGGCCAAUGGGAACCGCCGCUCGUGCGCCUCAGCCAAUGAGAAACGGCGCGCGAUCUCCUCUGCAGGGCGCGGACAAGCUACAGGACAACAUGGCGGCAAAGCUGAGGAAAACGAGGAGGAAAGCUUUGCGGCCUAAUUUGCACUCAUCCACACUGUGAACGUCGGCACCCUUUUGAACUGCCAUGACUCACAAGUUGGCUCAAAGGAUGAUACAUGACGGUCCUCUUAUCCAUUUCAUCCUCUUGACAACCCUUUGAGAUAAAUCAGGCUGAAAGAGGAGGACUCGUCCAAGUCUCUACUUCAUAGCUCUGGAGGGAUCUCCGUCAAUCAGGAACUGUGAAGACAACUUGCUUAGCUCUUACCCCUUCAUUUUUAACUUAGCAACAUUCAUCAACUGCAGGCAAUGAAAUCCUUUCUGUUUGUAAAGUUACAGGGUGAAUUCAUAGAACUGUCACAUACAUGUUCACUCAGACAUCAGUCCCAAUAAAUUAGAUAGAGCACAGAGCCAGGUAAGCGUAUAAAAGUAAAAAUGUGGAAUCUCUUUCGGGCCAAGGACUGUAUUCAGUUUAGAUAUCAUUCCAUUUGUAAACAAGAUAAAAUACAAAGAACCAAGAGAAUGAUGAUAUAUGUUAACAUAAAGCUCUUACUGAGAGUAAUUUAGGAUGCUAUAAUCUGCAUAUCUAUCACACAACACUGCUGUCUGUCUGCCUCCUCCCUGUGAAUAACCCACCACUACUGAUGGGCAAAGCCCAUCAAUAGCUCCCGAUCCCACAAUUCUUCUUGUGAGAUGGGUCUAUUCUGCUUCUGUGCUGAUAUGCUGGUACUAACAUAAUGUGUGCCUGUGCAGUUUUGUUCCCUCCCUUUCAAUAUUCUUGAGCUGUUUGUUUAAGUUUUACAGCAAUAUUUACAAUUUUUUAAAUUAGCAAUUGCUGCAAAAUUUCUUCAGAUCUUAAAAGAAUUAUGUAGCAAGGGAAGCGUGGAAAGGUGGGGCAACAAGGCUAUGCAGAAAUACAAUCACAAGACCAUGGAUUAGCAAGUUGGCAUGAUUGCAUGAAUAAAGAAAGUUGUGAUAAGGAAAGUGCUCAUGCUGGUAUGUAGUUAGUAUCUGUGAUUGUGCUACUGCUGUACUAUAGCAGCUUUGUAUGAUAAAGUUCUAAGCCUUAGGACAGGUAUUUCACCCAUUUAGAAUGGGGAAAACCUCAUAGAACAUCUGGAAAACCACCAUAAGAUUGUACAAUGAGGAAGGAGGCAUGGUCUUCUGGGGAAUGCCAGGAGACUAAGUUGGAACUAUAGCAGGCAUGGGCAAACUUUGGCCCACCAGGUGUUUUGGACUUCCACAAUUCCUUACAGCUGGUAGGCUGUUAGGAUU
Anolis carolinensis (green anole) is the source of this 1373-nucleotide long non-coding RNA. RefSeq lists it as uncharacterized. NCBI's taxonomy places the organism in Eukaryota, Metazoa, Chordata, Lepidosauria, Squamata, Anolidae. The record is from RefSeq and is a predicted model, not a curated record. The transcript is spliced from 3 exons.